AUUGAACGCUGGCGGCAGGCCUAACACAUGCAAGUCGAACGGUAACAGGAAGCAGCUUGCUGCUUUGCUGACGAGUGGCGGACGGGUGAGUAAUGUCUGGGAAACUGCCUGAUGGAGGGGGAUAACUACUGGAAACGGUAGCUAAUACCGCAUAACGUCGCAAGACCAAAGAGGGGGACCUUCGGGCCUCUUGCCAUCGGAUGUGCCCAGAUGGGUUUAGCUAGUAGGUGGGGUAACGGCUCACCUAGGCGACGAUCCCUAGCUGGUCUGAGAGGAUGACCAGCCACACUGGAACUGAGACACGGUCCAGACUCCUACGGGAGGCAGCAGUGGGGAAUAUUGCACAAUGGGCGCAAGCCUGAUGCAGCCAUGCCGCGUGUAUGAAGAAGGCCUUCGGGUUGUAAAGUACUUUCAGCGGGGAGGAAGGGAGUAAAGUUAAUACCUUUGCUCAUUGACGUUACCCGCAGAAGAAGCACCGGCUAACUCCGUG
RNAcentral lists this ribosomal RNA (490 nucleotides) under uncultured bacterium. RNAcentral's name for it is "partial 16S ribosomal RNA". It matches the Rfam family "Bacterial small subunit ribosomal RNA", at positions 30 to 507 of the family's 1533-position model. The record is from RNAcentral.